GUAGGGAAUAUUGCGCAAUGGACGAAAGUCUGACGCAGCGACGCCGCGUGAGUGAUGAAGGCCUUAGGGUCGUAAAGCUCUGUUGAAUGGGAAGAAAAAAAUGACGGUACCAUUCGAGGAAGGACCGGCUAACUUCGUGCCAGCAGCCGCGGUAAUACGAGGGGUCCUAGCGUUGUUCGGAAUCAUUGGGCGUAAAGGGUGUGUAGGUGGCCAUGUAAGUCAGGUGUGAAAGCCCCGGGCUCAACCCGGGAAGUGCACUUGAUACUGCGUGGCUUGAGUACCGAAGAGGGUAGUGGAAUUCCAGGUGUAGUGGUGAAAUACGUAGAUAUCUGGAGGAACACCGGUGGCGAAGGCGGCUACCUGGUCGAGUACUGACACUGAGGCACGAAAGCGUGGGGAGCAAACAGGAUUAGAAACCCUAGUAGUCC
Molecule: ribosomal RNA, 428 nt
Filed under: uncultured bacterium
Lineage: Bacteria
Description: partial 16S ribosomal RNA
Rfam family: Bacterial small subunit ribosomal RNA
Source: RNAcentral